GUUGGCUACUGUGAGAAGGAAGAGUUAGUGCUUUGUCUGACGAGCUGCCUAUGCGAACCGUCAAGGAGCAAAAGAAAAACUGGAAUAGAAUAAGAAUUGCACUGCUAAGAGAAGACAGAGAUUGUCCACAGCAGUGUAGUCACACUGUGGCUUACAGACCAUUGAUGUGUCCCACAAUUUGGAGCUGCAGUGCUAGAGAGGGGGGAAAAGCUCAUCCCACUGCUCUUCCCAGCAGAAGGACACAGGAGAUAGAGGUGGCAGCAGCUGGCACAUCAGGGGUUAAACAAUUUACUUUUCUUUAACAACACUUCAUUUUUCCCUCAAAGUUUAUCUACAUUAAAAUAUUCUAAAUGUAGUGUGUUUCUGUAAGUCUAAUUAUAUGCGGCAUGCGAAAACAUAUUCGAUAAUCAUAUUGCUAAUUAUGUGCAAUCACUUCAAUACACAGGUGCAAAGCUCCAGAAAUAUGCACAUUUUAAUCACCUUGUAUAUAGAUAUAAACCACAACUUUUCAUUUAAGUGUUCAGUGACUCCUUUCUUUUUUUUUUCUGGGACUACACUUCCUUGGAUUUUGGACCGGCUGGGGUCAGAAAAAGAAAUAUAUUAAGCUACUACAAAUCUGGAAUUUAAUUUAUAUGUGUAUGUUCCAGUGCUAAAAAAACCUGUAAUUCCUUACUUUUCCAUGGUUUAUGAACAUUUUAAAGCACAUAUUUUAUAAUUUAUUGAUGGACACAGCAUGCUGACUUCAGAGAUA
Long non-coding RNA from Zonotrichia leucophrys gambelii, 751 nucleotides. RefSeq lists it as uncharacterized. The record is from RefSeq and is a predicted model, not a curated record. NCBI's taxonomy places the organism in Eukaryota, Metazoa, Chordata, Aves, Passeriformes, Passerellidae. The transcript has 3 exons.